Molecule: transfer RNA, 67 nt
Filed under: Chionomys nivalis (European snow vole)
Lineage: Eukaryota; Metazoa; Chordata; Mammalia; Rodentia; Cricetidae
Description: tRNA-Pro
Rfam family: tRNA
About the family: Transfer RNA (tRNA) molecules are approximately 80 nucleotides in length. Their secondary structure includes four short double-helical elements and three loops (D, anti-codon, and T loops).
Source: RNAcentral
CAGGAAGUAGUUUAAGUAGAAUGUCAGCUUUGGGUGCUGAUGGUGGGGGGUGGACCUUCCUUCCUGA